Molecule: ribosomal RNA, 504 nt
Filed under: Limosilactobacillus vaginalis
Lineage: Bacteria; Bacillati; Bacillota; Bacilli; Lactobacillales; Lactobacillaceae
Description: bacterial SSU rRNA
Rfam family: Bacterial small subunit ribosomal RNA
Source: RNAcentral
GAUGAACGCCGGCGGUGUGCCUAAUACAUGCAAGUCGAGCGCACUGGCCCAACUGAUAUGACGUGCUUGCACUGAAUUGACGUUGGAUUCCCAGUGAGCGGCGGACGGGUGAGUAACACGUGGGCAACCUGCCCUGAAGCGGGGGAUAACAUCUGGAAACAGGUGCUAAUACCGCAUAACAACGAAAACCACAUGGUUUUCGUUUCAAAGAUGGUUUCGGCUAUCACUUCAGGAUGGGCCCGCGGUGCAUUAGCUAGUUGGUAAGGUAACGGCUUACCAAGGCGAUGAUGCAUAGCCGAGUUGAGAGACUGAUCGGCCACAAUGGAACUGAGACACGGUCCAUACUCCUACGGGAGGCAGCAGUAGGGAAUCUUCCACAAUGGGCGCAAGCCCGAUGGAGCAACACCGCGUGAGUGAAGAAGGGUUUCGGCUCGUAAAGCUCUGUUGUUGGAGAAGAACGUGCGUGAGAGUAACUGUUCACGCAAUGACGGAUCCAACCAGAAA